AUGAUGCUCCUUAGUUGGAACUGUCGAGGCCUCGGGCAGCCUCGCACAGUUCAGGAACUCGUGUGCCUCAUGCACACUUACAAGCCCAAGCUCGUCUUCCUCUCUGAAACCCGGCAAAACAAUAAGUGCGUCAAGAAUCUUAAGUGGAGGUUAGGCCUCCGUCAUUGUAUCACGCAACCCGGUAUCGGAAAAGGUGCCGGCAUUGCCCUCUUUUAUGAUGAGAGUAUUGAAUGGCGAUGCACUAUUGUAUACGGGGAACCGAAGGCCCAUCAGCAUCACCAUAUGUGGACAUUACUUUGGAGAAUAAAAGAUACAACAAAUGUGCCA
This 327-nucleotide ribosomal RNA is filed under the name Triticum aestivum (bread wheat). Its description in RNAcentral is "partial small subunit ribosomal RNA". The record is from RNAcentral. Lineage: Eukaryota; Viridiplantae; Streptophyta; Magnoliopsida; Poales; Poaceae.